RNAcentral lists this ribosomal RNA (406 nucleotides) under uncultured bacterium. RNAcentral describes it as "partial 16S ribosomal RNA". It matches the Rfam family "Bacterial small subunit ribosomal RNA", at positions 30 to 526 of the family's 1533-position model. The record is from RNAcentral.
AUUGAACGCUGGCGGCAGGCCUAACACAUGCAAGUCGAGCGAGCGGCGGACGGGUGAGUAAUGUCUGGGGAACUGCCCGAUGGAGGGGGAUAACUACUGGAAACGGUAGCUAAUACCGCAUACCAUCGGAUGUACCCAUAUGGGAUUAGCUAGUAGGUGGGGUAAAGGCUCCCCUAGGCGACGAUCCCUAGCUGGUCUGAGAGGAUGAUCAGCCACACUGGAACUGAGACACGGCCCAGACUCCUACGGGAGGCAGCAGUGGGGAAUAUUGCACAAUGGGCGCAAGCCGGAUGCAGCCAUGCCGCGUGUAUGAAGAAGGCCUUAGGGUUGUAAAGUACUUUCAGCGGGGAGGCGUUACCCGCAGAAGAAGCACCGGCUAACUCCGUGCCAGCAGCCGCGGUAAUUC